RNAcentral lists this ribosomal RNA (747 nucleotides) under uncultured bacterium. Its description in RNAcentral is "bacterial SSU rRNA". It matches the Rfam family "Bacterial small subunit ribosomal RNA", at positions 85 to 828 of the family's 1533-position model. The record is from RNAcentral.
CUGAUGGCGACCGGCGCACGGGUGAGUAACACGUAUCCAACCUGCCGUCUACUCUUGGCCAGCCUUCUGAAAGGAAGAUUAAUCCAGGAUGGGAUCAUGAGUUCACAUGUCCGCAUGAUUAAAGGUAUUUUCCGGUAGACGAUGGGGAUGCGUUCCAUUAGAUAGUAGGCGGGGUAACGGCCCACCUAGUCAACGAUGGAUAGGGGUUCUGAGAGGAAGGUCCCCCACAUUGGAACUGAGACACGGUCCAAACUCCUACGGGAGGCAGCAGUGAGGAAUAUUGGUCAAUGGGCGAUGGCCUGAACCAGCCAAGUAGCGUGAAGGAUGACUGCCCUAUGGGUUGUAAACUUCUUUUAUAAAGGAAUAAAGUCGGGUAUGCAUACCCGUUUGCAUGUACUUUAUGAAUAAGGAUCGGCUAACUCCGUGCCAGCAGCCGCGGUAAUACGGAGGAUCCGAGCGUUAUCCGGAUUUAUUGGGUUUAAAGGGAGCGUAGAUGGAUGUUUAAGUCAGUUGUGAAAGUUUGCGGCUCAACCGUAAAAUUGCAGUUGAUACUGGAUGUCUUGAGUGCAGUUGAGGCAGGCGGAAUUCGUGGUGUAGCGGUGAAAUGCUUAGAUAUCACGAAGAACUCCGAUUGCGAAGGCAGCCUGCUAAGCUGCAACUGACAUUGAGGCUCGAAAGUGUGGGUAUCAAACAGGAUUAGAUACCCUGGUAGUCCACACGGUAAACGAUGAAUACUCGCUGUUUGCG